GAAUGCUGACAUAAGUAACGAUAAAGCGGGUGAAAAGCCCGCUCGCCGGAAGACCAAGGGUUCCUGUCCAACGUUAAUCGGGGCAGGGUGAGUCGACCCCUAAGGCGAGGCCGAAAGGCGUAGUCGAUGGGAAACGGGUUAAUAUUCCCGUACUUGGUGUUACUGCGAAGGGGGGACGGAGAAGGCUAUGUUGGCCGGGCGACGGUUGUCCCGGUUUAAGCGUGUAGGUGUGUGUUCCAGGUAAAUCCGGUUCACUUUAACACUGAGGCGUGACGACGAGGCACUACGGUGCUGAAGCAACAAAUGCCCUGCUUCCAGGAAAAGCCUCUAAGCAUCAGGUAACACGAAAUCGUACCCCAAACCGACACAGGUGGUCAGGUAGAGAAUACCAAGGCGCUUGAGAGAACUCGGGUGAAGGAACUAGGCAAAAUGGUGCCGUAACUUCGGGAGAAGGCACGCUGACACGUAGGUGA
Molecule: ribosomal RNA, 473 nt
Filed under: Salmonella enterica subsp. enterica serovar Typhimurium
Lineage: Bacteria; Pseudomonadati; Pseudomonadota; Gammaproteobacteria; Enterobacterales; Enterobacteriaceae
Description: partial 23S ribosomal RNA
Rfam family: Bacterial large subunit ribosomal RNA
Source: RNAcentral